UAUUCUCUGCGAGACACGUGAGGGGUAUUCGUUUUUAUUCCUUAUAACGUGUUUUAUAGGGAGCUGUUCUUGAUUGUGGAGCGCAGGCUUGCACGCGCUGCAAGAAGCCAGAAGCAAUCACCCCGGCACCCACCUCAUUAUUAUGAGGAUAAAACAGGCCGCCCACGGUUUUUUGUGGAGAAUAC
This 185-nucleotide non-coding RNA is filed under the name Deltaproteobacteria bacterium. RNAcentral describes it as "6S RNA". It matches the Rfam family "6S / SsrS RNA". From Rfam's summary of the family: E. coli 6S RNA was the first non coding RNA to be sequenced, but its function was unknown until recently. It consists of 184 nucleotides that fold into an extended hairpin structure with a large single-stranded internal bulge. The 6S RNA specifically associates with RNA polymerase holoenzyme containing the sigma70 specificity factor. The record is from RNAcentral. Lineage: Bacteria; Pseudomonadati; Myxococcota; Myxococcia.